ACAACUGAUAAAAUUCGAGCCUCAAAUACAAAAGCCAGCGGAAUAACUUAAAAACUUAACCAAACCAUCUACUAUCCUCAAUUCAAAACCAUCUUCUCACUCAUCACGAAUCAAUCCUGACUUCUGAAAAUUGAAUCACAAUAAACUAUAAUGAGUACAAAACCCAGUAAGCAAACUAGUUUUUCUUAUACGGAAAAUACAUACAGACUUAUACAUAAUGCAAUGGUUGAUAUGUCAUGAUCUUUUGGAAAUACUGUAAAAUAAAUUCAUAAAAAUCUCUUUCUGUCGCUUUCAAACUUUCUUAUUUUCUUUCGAUGAAAUACGUAUCCUACAAUGUGGCACUUUGUGCUGUACGUGGCACUUUGCGGCGCCCUGGCCCUCAAGAGGUGGCCCCCGCAUAGUCCCAAGAGGUGACCCCCACACAACUUCAAGAGGUGGCCCCCAAUGCAAAAUCUCAUAAAACAUAAAUUCUGUUUGCUAAAAUCCACUUUCUCAUUCGUAGAAAACUCAAUGCAUUUUCGUGCUCAUGCCAAUGAACCAUCACACAUACAUAUGCCCAUGUACAUAAUCACGCUCAACACAUGCCAACACAUCACAUAAACACAUGGGCAAAGACAUCUAAAUCCAUAUCCGUAUAUAUAUCAAAAUAUGCUUUUCACACAAGUCAAACAUAUAUAUUGUUUAGUGUGAUUCGUUUUAAAGUCUAGUUUACUUACCUCUUGGCAUCCUCAUGUAACAAAUGCGUACUGAUACCAUUAACCUAAAAUCAUCAAUAACGCCUCAUAAGAUAUAAUCAAAUCUCAAUCACAAACUGUAAUGUCCUCAAAUAUCUCAAUUUAAACAACUCCUAAGCUCAACCUCAAAUGUCCUCAAUAAUCGGCCCUCAAAACAUAAAUCCUUUACAAAUACUCUUUAUCAGUUGUAAAGAGUUAUUUAAAUUAUAUGUGAGUUGUAGACAUAUUUGCCCUUGGAUUUCAGACUGGGGUGUUUCAAAUGGUAUCAGACCGAUUCCCAUCCGAUAAAAUUGGAACGAUACAGAGAAGAUUAGCAUAAUUCGUAACAUAAUUCCUUCAAAAACUAUUGAAAAUAAUUCACGUUUCAGACAUCAUCAAUACUGUCAAACAGUUUUCUGUUUUGAACACACUUGCUUUACAAAUACAAAACAAUUUAUUGCUUUAUCAUAAAAUCAUGAAAAUUUCCAGAAUCAUACUAGACAUAUAUAAAAAGCAUUGGUCCAAAUUUCAUAAUUUUUGAAGAAGUCUAACUAUGGUAAAAAUAAUUUCGUAAUUCACGUUAUUCACUGAAAUCAUAAAUUUCCAGGUUUUCAGACUUGAAUUUGAAAAAUCAUAAUUAAUUGAAAUCUUAUCCGAUUAACUUGAAACAAGUUUCAAAACAUUCUAGACGAUGUCUAGUUUAACAUACCCAAAAAUCAGAAUCAAAAUCAAUUUGUACAAAUUACUAUGAUUUCUGUAAUAAUUCGCUGUCAGCAUAUUUAUGUAAAAUCUUUGAUUUCUACUUCUAUUACAAUCAUGCUUCUCCACAACAAUUUAAUAGAAACCAAUAAUUAAAACGUACCUCCAAAACUUCUCCCAACAAUAACAACUUGAUCCCAUGUGUUGUCUAUGGCAAAAACUAAGAAGAAGAAGAAGACUUUCUUCUUCUCUUUUUUUCUUUUCUUUUCUCUCUUGUCUCUCCAUCUCUCUUUUUCAACCGAUCUCUCUUUUU
This 1725-nucleotide long non-coding RNA is filed under the name Citrus maxima (pomelo). RNAcentral describes it as "long non-coding RNA (CMAX_LNC001313)". The record is from RNAcentral. Lineage: Eukaryota; Viridiplantae; Streptophyta; Magnoliopsida; Sapindales; Rutaceae.